AGUGAACGCUGGCGGUAGGCCUAACACAUGCAAGUCGAACGGCAGCACAGUAAGAGCUUGCUCUUACGGGUGGCGAGUGGCGGACGGGUGAGGAAUACAUCGGAAUCUACUUUUUCGUGGGGGAUAACGUAGGGAAACUUACGCUAAUACCGCAUACGACCUACGGGUGAAAGCAGGGGAUCUUCGGACCUUGCGCGAUUGAAUGAGCCGAUGUCGGAUUAGCUAGUUGGCGGGGUAAAGGCCCACCAAGGCGACGAUCCGUAGCUGGUCUGAGAGGAUGAUCAGCCACACUGGAACUGAGACACGGUCCAGUCUCCUACGGGAGGCAGCAGUGGGGAAUAUUGGACAAUGGGCGCAAGCCUGAUCCAGCCAUACCGCGUGGGUGAAGAAGGCCUUCGGGUUUAAAGCCCUUUUGUUGGGAAAGAAAAGCAGCAGGUUAAUACCCCGCUGUUCUGACGGUACCCAAAGAAUAAGCACCGGCUAACUUCGUG
This 491-nucleotide ribosomal RNA is filed under the name uncultured bacterium. Its description in RNAcentral is "partial 16S ribosomal RNA". It matches the Rfam family "Bacterial small subunit ribosomal RNA", at positions 29 to 507 of the family's 1533-position model. The record is from RNAcentral.